RNAcentral lists this ribosomal RNA (371 nucleotides) under uncultured bacterium. Its description in RNAcentral is "bacterial SSU rRNA". It matches the Rfam family "Bacterial small subunit ribosomal RNA", at positions 527 to 896 of the family's 1533-position model. The record is from RNAcentral.
AGAGGUGCCAAGCGUUAGGCGGAAUCACUGGGCUUAAAGCGCGCGUAGGCGGAUGUUUAAGUGUCUUGUGAAAUCCCACGGCUCAACCGUGGAACUGCUGGGCAUACUGGACAUCUCGAGGCACUCAGGGGCGAGCGGAACAAGUGGUGGAGCGGUGAAAUGCGUAGAUAUCACUUGGAACGCCAAUGGUGAAGACAGCUCGCUGGGGGUGUCCUGACGCUGAGGCGCGAAAGCCAGGGGAGCGAACGGGAUUAGAUACCCCGGUAGUCCUGGCCCUAAACGAUGUCCACUAGAUCAUGGCGGCUCUGACGCCGUCAUGGUCGGAGCAAAAGUGUUAAGUGGACCGCCUGGGAAGUACGGUCGCAAGGCUA